This is an RNA transcript of Dendrobium catenatum, 3657 nucleotides long. It is a transcript of the gene named small RNA 2'-O-methyltransferase, with no coding region annotated. The record is from RefSeq and is a predicted model, not a curated record. The transcript is spliced from 11 exons. Lineage: Eukaryota; Viridiplantae; Streptophyta; Magnoliopsida; Asparagales; Orchidaceae.
UUUCAUCUUCUCUUUUUCAUUGCUGUUCGGCUUCGUUGGUGCAGAGAUUGCACGCGUCUGCUUCUUCGGCUCAUUCGUGGCUGUUCGACUUCGCUCCUUCGACGACUUUCCCUUGCUGUCGGAUCGGAAGUUACGACAUUUUGAUCGGAAGCAAGAACAGGAGCUCGCUGGCUGUGAAGGUUGAAUAUGACCAUCGUGGAUUUUUGCUUGAUUCUUUGAAUGACGCACUUGCUACUUAACUAGUAGUAAAGUCAGCGAAGAUAGGAAGGAUGUUAGAAGCUGAUGAACUGUCCCCAGUUGCAAGGAAGCGGCCAGCACUUGCUCCGAAGGCACUUAUACAUCAGAAGUUCGGUAACCAAGCGUCGUACAGGAUUGAAGAAGUGAGGCAGCCUCUUGAGAACAAUUGUCCUGGUCUGGCUUUGGCACAACAGACCCGGAGUCUAUAUAGAUGCUAUUUGGAUCUUCCAGAGUUGUCUGUUAUUUCAGACGCAUUACCAAAAAAGAAGGAUGCUGAGCAUGCUGCUGCAAAAAUUGCUAUAGAAAAGUUAGGUAUUCAAUCUAAGGUAGACAAUCUUACCCCUCGGGAAGCAAUGGAUGAACUAGUUUUACGUUUAGGUGGCUUCUUCACAGAUGAGUUCCUUUCUUCAACCCAUCCUCUGGUUGGACACAUCAAAUUUGCACUUAGUAGAGUCGGUGAGCGUUUUGGUAUGAUUCCAAUGUCUGUAAUUGCUACAUGUGACACAAAAGUUAACAAUUUUUGCAAAGUCAUCAAUCCAAAGGCUGAAUCAGAUCCUCUCUUGGUUUUGUUGUUGAUCUUGAGGGCUGCCAAAAUGUCUGCAUCUAUCUGUAUUACUUAUGGCGAAUUUUGGAUAUGGAAGCAAGGGUCUUAUCCUACUGAGUUUGUUGAGUCAGUUAAGAAUCUUACUUCAGUAUCGACACAAAAGUCUUCGGUAGAAGCAAUUUUUAUUCCCAGCUUGCAUGAUAGAGAUGUUGAAACCUUGACUCUAAAUUUUUCGGAUAGCCUAUAUUACUUGGAUGAAAUUGCACAGAAACUGCAUGUCAGGGAUCCAUCCCGCAUCCUAGUGUCACGCACUGUUGGGAAGGCUUCUUCAGAAAUUAGAUUAUAUUUCUCUGCUCCAGAUGUACCUUUUUUAACUUCAGAUUCCUCGAUGGAAGUCCCAAUGAUCGAAGGAAAUGUUAAUUUGGACAAAAUCUUGAACGAACGAGCUUCCUACUUAUCUGGGCAAUGUAUUUAUGGAAAUGCAAUUAUGGCUCAUGUUGGAUAUACAUGGAAGUCCUCUAAUCUUUUCUUUGAAGACAUCUGGUUGAGUACGUAUUACAGAAUGAUUUUGGGAAAGUUGCCUGAUGGACAUUAUAAGCUGUCCAGAGAGGCAAUACUUAGUGCGGAACUGCCUGCUGUAUACACUACUCGCUCAAACUGGAAGGGCCCAACACCACGGGAUCUUCUUUGCUUUUUCUGCCUCCAGCACAGGCUAUUAGAUCCUCUUUUCUCUAUUAAAACACUUGACCAUACAGAAAUUUCUGUAGAGUCCUGUGAAGUUCAAAAAGAGUCAAAGUUAUCAAGGUCGGCUGAUGAAGUUGAGAAGGUAAACGGGGACAAAUCUGAUCCUAUCCGCAGAGAGUUGGGCAGGUCCAUUAGUGCCUUCCAAUGUGAAGUUAAAAUAUUAUCUAAGAGACAGGAUCCAGUGUUCAAAUGUUCUUUUGAUGAUACAUGCAGAAAGGAAUGUGAUGCAAUUCAGAGUGCCGCAUUAAAGGUUCUUUCAUGUUUCAAUAAGUACUUCAAGCAACCUGACAUGCCAAUUGAGAAGUUUUUCGAGCUUGAAAAUGGUCACAGCAUAGCUGUAUAUUCCAAAGAAUUUAUUCAAGAACUUGUGAAAUGUCCAUCAAUAUAUGAUAUUAAAAGGAAAAACAAGAGUUCUCGGUUACAUAUAUCUUCAAAUCAGUGUAGUACACAGUAUGAGAACGGUAUAAGUUGUAAAAUUGAUGGCCCGGAUUCUGGCAUUUUUCCAUCCCCAGGUUCUGUAAUUUGCAUAAGCUAUGUUGUUGUAUUAAUGGACAAGGAUACAACUUUGAAGGAAAUUUUAGAAAGCAAAGAUUCAUUUGAGUUUGAGAUAGGUACUGGUGCUGUGAUUAGUGAACUUGAAUCAUGUGUGAGUCAGCUGACGGUAAAUCAAUCUGCAAAGUUUGUUGUUGAAGUGCCUUCUAGGGACUUGAUCUUUAGUGCAGCUGGUCAAGCUGCCACGCAUCUUUCACAGUUAUCAUUACACAACUGCUUCUUGGAAUACUCUGUAAAGUUAUUGCACGUGACAGAACCUCUAGAGGACAGAAUUGAGCAGGCUUUAUUCAGUCCUCCUCUAUCUAAACAGAGAGUUGAGUUUGCGGUAGGGUAUAUCAAUCAAUUGCAUGCUACCAGCUUGGUGGAUUUUGGCUGUGGAUCAGGCAGCCUACUGGAUUCUCUAUUAGAUCAUCCUACUACUUUAGAAAAAGUUGCAGGUGUAGAUAUAUCACGCAAAAGUCUUAUUCGUGCUGCAAAGAUUCUACAUUUGAAAUUGAGUGCAAAUCUUUCGAGGCAAAAAAGCAUAAGAUCUACUAUACUAUAUGAUGGAUCAAUAACUGAUUUUGAUUCUCGCUUAUGUGAGUUUGACAUCGGUACUUGUUUAGAGGUCAUCGAGCACAUGGAAGAGGAUCAAGCUUGUUUGUUUGGUGAUGUCGUUCUAAGCUUCUUCUGUCCAGGAGUACUCAUAGUUUCUACACCCAACUUUGAGUACAACCCAAUUCUACAGAGAUCCUCAAUGCCAGGCAGGGAGGAUUCAGAAGAUAAACCCACUUCCAUUAAAUUUCGGAAUCAUGAUCACAAGUUUGAGUGGACAAGACAACAAUUUCAGCACUGGGCCAACAAUCUUGCAGUAAGGCACAAUUAUAGUGUUGAGUUUAGCGGAGUUGGAGGUUCAGCGGACAUUGAGCCGGGCUUUGCAUCUCAAAUUGCGGUUUUCAAAAGGUCUUCAAAUCUAUUCCAGAAGCAAUGCUUGAGAACGGAGCCAUCCGAACUCUAUGAAGUCAUCUGGGAAUGGAGUGCUGAUUCUGCUCCACUCUGAGCUUCUAAUUGGUUCUAUCGUAAUGACUGCAUGUGGCAUAUGAGAAGCAAUUUCGUUGGCAUUAUAUUGGUUCCAUGUUCAGGAAAUAAAUCAAUGCGCUUGAUAUGGUGGAAGUAGUAGGCGCACCAAGUGGACUCGGGAGCCACAUGACCACUCGGUCCAGCAAACUUCGCCACAGGUGGGGCUAGCAGACAGAGAGGGGGAGUCAGUUGAGGAGGUGGGGCCCAACAGAGAAUCAAAAUAUUAUAUUAGGAGAGAAUCAAUUAGGAAAUCAUUUGAUUUCCUAAUUGAAUUUUAAAUAGAUGAAGGUAACACAUUAGGAAGGAGGUUGAUUUAUGAGGGACGGAGAAUGCUUAUUUAAGUCUAAAGUUAGGGUUUAUUUUAUUCUUAUGCAGAAUUUUGUUUUGAGUGUUGUAAUUCUCUUGUGUGAGGGAUCCUGGCCGCGUGUAGGGAUUGGAAGAGAAGAUCCUUCUCUAAAAAGAGGAUCAUUAUAUCUUGCUUUGUUUGUAUUUGAUUUUCAAUCAAUAAAAAUCUAUUUUCA